RNAcentral lists this ribosomal RNA (403 nucleotides) under bacterium. RNAcentral describes it as "partial 16S ribosomal RNA". It matches the Rfam family "Bacterial small subunit ribosomal RNA", at positions 355 to 776 of the family's 1533-position model. The record is from RNAcentral.
UGGGGAAUAUUGCACAAUGGAGGGAACUCUGAUGCAGCGACGCCGCGUGAACGAAGAAGGCUUUCGAGUCGUAAAGUUCUUUUAUAUGGGAAGAUAAUGACGGUACCAUAAGAAAAAGCCCCGCCUAACUACGUGCCAGCAGCCGCGGUAAUACGUAGGGGGCUAGCGUUGUCCGGAAUCACUGGGCGUAAAGGGUUCGCAGGCGGAAAUGCAAGUCAGGUGUAAAAGGCAGUAGCUUAACUACUGUAAGCAUUUGAAACUGCAUAUCUUGAGAAGAGUAGAGGUAAGUGGAAUUUUUAGUGUAGCGGUGAAAUGCGUAGAUAUUAAAAAGAAUACCGGUGGCGAAGGCGACUUACUGGGCUCAUUCUGACGCUGAGGAACGAAAGCGUGGGUAGCAAACAGG